GUUAAUGGCAAUCCACAUAUCCAUAUCAUGGAUUUAUAACAAACACCUUAAAGACCAAAAUAUAAUAAUCACAGGAGAUACAAGAAAUGGCAAAUAAACAGAUGAUCAACAGAUAUCGAGUAAGGGCUGAGAGUAUUUUUUAUUGAUUUAAAAUGAAUGCCUAUCUAUAUGAACAUGUAAAAUUACAAAAAUUUAAAGAAAUAUCUUUAGGCCAUAAACAAGAAAUUGUAAUUUUCUAAAAACAACGAAAACCAGAAGAGAAAUCAAAAUUACUGGUUAAUGUAUUCAAAUAUAAAUUACAUAAUUUAUCAAUCAUAACUUUACAUAAUUAAAGUUAAGAAAGACAAAUGCAUCUUGUUCGCUCGUCUUCAUGAUUCACGAUGCUCUUCUUCAUAAUGCAUCAUAUGGAUUAAACACACUCAACCAAAAAUCUAGAAAUGAAUGCAAUUGCUUCGCAUAAUAUAAAAAGUGAUAAGUUUGAUAAUCUAAACACCUUAAAGACCAAAAUAUAAUAAUCACAGGAGAUACAAGAAAUGGCAAAUAAACAGGUGAUCAACAGAUAUCGAGUAAGGGCUGAGAGUAAUUUUUAUUGAUUUAAAAUGAAUCUAUAUGAACAUGGAAAAUUACAAAAAUUUAAAGAAAUAUCUUUAGGCCAUAAACAAGAAAUUGUAAUUUUCUAAAAACAAUGAAAACCAGAAGAGAAAAUAGAAAUUAAUUUUUUUUUUUUUUGUAACUAGAAAAUAGAAAUUAAUACCUUCUUAAAAAUUGUAAUCAGAUUCAUCCCAUCAGAAAAUUUUUCACAAGAAAAAAACAAAUCAUCAUCAUCAUGAAUCAUGAAAAAUGCUUGAUCCGUGUUGUAGUUUUGUUAAAGAAAAAAAUCAGAAAUAGAGAGUGAGAGCGAGAGAAAGAGAUAAACAGAUUGAUGAAGAUCUCUAAAGAUAGAAAUGAUUUUGUU
This 955-nucleotide long non-coding RNA is filed under the name Brassica napus (rape). Its description in RNAcentral is "long non-coding RNA (BNAP_LNC011707)". Lineage: Eukaryota; Viridiplantae; Streptophyta; Magnoliopsida; Brassicales; Brassicaceae. The record is from RNAcentral.